RNAcentral lists this ribosomal RNA (445 nucleotides) under uncultured Lactobacillus sp. RNAcentral's name for it is "bacterial SSU rRNA". It matches the Rfam family "Bacterial small subunit ribosomal RNA", at positions 79 to 508 of the family's 1533-position model. Lineage: Bacteria; Bacillati; Bacillota; Bacilli; Lactobacillales; Lactobacillaceae. The record is from RNAcentral.
GAUUAACAUUUAUCGAGCGGCGGACGGGUGAGUAACACGUAGGUAACCUACCCAAAAGAGGGGGAUAACAUCUGGAAACAGGUGCUAAUACCGCAUAACAACAUUUAUCGCAUGAUAGAUGUUUGAAAGAUGGUUUCGGGCUAUCACUUUUGGAUGGACCUGCGGCGUAUUAGUUAGUUGGUGAGGUGACGGCUCACCAAGACGAUGAUACGUAGCCGAACUGAGAGGUUGAUCGGCCACACUGGGGACUGAGACACGGCCCAGACUCCUACGGGAGGCAGCAGUAGGGAAUCUUCCACAAUGGACGAAAGUCUGAUGGAGCAACGCCGCGUGAGUGAAGAAGGUUUUCGGAUCGUAAAACUCUGUCGUUGGAGAAGAAUGUAUCUGAUAGUAACUGAUCAGGUAGUGACGGUAUCCAACCAGAAAGCCACGGCUAACUACGUGC